This 378-nucleotide unclassified non-coding RNA is filed under the name uncultured Oligoflexales bacterium. RNAcentral's name for it is "contains 16S-23S intergenic spacer region". Lineage: Bacteria; Pseudomonadati; Bdellovibrionota; Oligoflexia; Oligoflexales. The record is from RNAcentral.
UCCGGUUUAACACCGGCAGUCUCCUUAGAGUGCCCAACUAAAUGAUGGCAACUAGGGACAAGGGUUGCGCUCGUUAAGGGACUUAACCCGACAUCUCACGAUACGAGCUGACGACAGCCAUGCAGCACCUAUACCGCCGGCCCCCGAAGGGGAGACUCUAUCUCUAGAGUUGUCCGACGUUGUCUAACCCAGGUAAGGUUCUUCGCGUUGCAUCGAAUUAAACCACAUGCUCCACCGCUUGUGCGGGCCCCCGUCAAUUCCUUUGAGUUUUAACCUUGCGGCCGUACUUCCCAGGCGGGGUACUUAAUGCGUUAGCGUCGACACUGCAGGGGUCAAUUCCCGCAACAUCUAGUACCCAUCGUUUACGGCGUGGACUAC